AAGAAUACUUUAAAAGAAAACCAAAUGCUCAGACUUGGUCAGCAACCUAAGUGGUUUUGACCCUAAUGUACAUUAAGGUCCAUCUCUGUGGCACACAGAUGAGGUGUUUUCAUUCUUCAUCCUUCGUCUUCAUUUUCUCCUGAUACCACCAUGUUUCACUGUCACUUAGCAAAUGUUUGUGUUAAACAGGGUAAAUAGAGAUGCCAAGAUCUCAUCGUUGUGGCAUAGCGCCAGUGUAUGUGCUGUGGGGAGCUGUUAUCUGUAUAAAAUUAUUGUUUAAUAGUGGAAAUAUUUGUUUCUGUUCUUCAGGUGUCUCAUGAUUUAAAUUUUGUAUGUUGAAUUAAAAUAUUGCAUAAUAUUGAUGGGUUCAAAACCAUUAAAAUAAUCAAACAAUUAUUCUGUGGGUUUAGUUUUAUUUCCUUGUAUUUUCAAUCAAAUACUCUUUCCAUCUUCACUUUCUUAUAACGUCCCAUCCACAUAAGCUAUUUUGUUUUCCCUCUCUGCUCACCCACCUCCUUAAAUUGAUAUAGUAACAGAAUAUAUUUGUGCUAGAGAACUUGAAAUACUACUGGAGCAUGUAUUUAUUUGGGGGGAAGCCAAAGCCUAUAAUUACGCCUAA
This 619-nucleotide long non-coding RNA is filed under the name Bos taurus (domestic cattle). RNAcentral's name for it is "long non-coding RNA NONBTAT018460". Lineage: Eukaryota; Metazoa; Chordata; Mammalia; Artiodactyla; Bovidae. The record is from RNAcentral.